RNAcentral lists this small RNA (809 nucleotides) under Pan troglodytes (chimpanzee). Its description in RNAcentral is "retained intron". The record is from RNAcentral. Lineage: Eukaryota; Metazoa; Chordata; Mammalia; Primates; Hominidae.
ACGCCACUCACAUCCGACGUGUGUGGUUGCUCAGUAGGGAAAUGCUUACAGCUGCCUCUAGAAGCAAGUCCGCUCGCUGCAUGGAGAGGGAAACAUGAGCAUGCAGCAGGACUAGCUGUCACCUCCCGCCCGCCUGCCCAGAGAGGGCCAGAGCGUCAGGGAGGCAAGAUGAUCCACCAACGGUGCCAUCCUACACUUGGAUUCAGUAAGCUGUGAGGUCCGUAAUGUCAGACACUGGCAAACAUCACAUGUUCUUCAAGUAGAGUUAUGAAAACGAAGAAACUGGUCAGAAGAGUAAAACGCCGGAAUUGUCCUUUCCAACAUCCAGAGCUGCAUCAUUCCUUGGGGCAAAAUGUGGACAAGGCACUGUUUCUAAAUCCCUGAAGUGGUUGAGCACUGUGUCUGAGGCCAGAAGCUUUCGUGGGUCACUAGAAAAGAGCCUAGUGAGGGGGAGGAACUGGACUGGAACGUGGAAAGCUGGAAUCGGGUCUGACCUGCCCUGCCGCCUUGGCAAAUCACUCCUACAGGCCUUCAACUGAUUGGAUGAGGCCCACCAACAUUAUGAAGGGCAAUCUGCUUUACUCAAAGUCCAUUGGUUUAAAUGUAAGUCUCCUCCCAAAAAACCCUCGCAGAAACAUCCAAAAUAAUGUCUGACCAAAUACGUGGGCAUUGCAGCCCAGUCACGUUGACAUAUGAAAUUACCCAUCAUGGGGAUGAAAACUGGUGAGUCACUGGCAUAUGAAUAGCUGGCAUGACUGUGGACUCUGGGGAGAGAGAAGAGAAGGAGAAGGCAGGGCCUAAGGAACAUC